UGGCUUAGAUUUUGGUUUGUUUGGUUUGU
This 29-nucleotide non-coding RNA is filed under the name Mus musculus (house mouse). The record is from RNAcentral. Lineage: Eukaryota; Metazoa; Chordata; Mammalia; Rodentia; Muridae.